CAUUAUACCGCGAAACUGCGAAUGGCUCAUUAUAUAAGUUAUCGGUUAUUUGAUAAUACUUUACUACUUGGAUAACCGUGGUAAUUCUAGAGCUAAUACAUGCUAAAAAUCCCGACUUCGGAAGGGUUGUAUUUAUUAGAUUAAAAACCAAUGCCCCUCGGGGCUCUCUGGUGAAUCAUGAUAACUAGUCGAAUCGACAGGCCUUGUGCCGGCGAUGGCUCAUUCAAAUUUCUUCCCUAUCAACUUUCGAUGUUUGGGUAUUGGCCAAACAUGGUGGCAACGGGUAACGGAGGGUUAGGGCUCGACCCCGGAGAAGGAGCCUGAGAAACGGCUACUACAUCCAAGGAAGGCAGCAGGCG
This 359-nucleotide ribosomal RNA is filed under the name uncultured Hypocreales. RNAcentral describes it as "SSU rRNA". It matches the Rfam family "Eukaryotic small subunit ribosomal RNA", at positions 72 to 434 of the family's 1831-position model. Lineage: Eukaryota; Fungi; Ascomycota; Sordariomycetes; Hypocreales. The record is from RNAcentral.